AGUGAACGUUGGCGGCGUGGAUUAGGCAUGCAAGUCGAGCGAGAACCGUAGCAAUACGGGGACAGCGGCGAAAGGGACAGUAAUGUGUAGGUACCUACCUCCGGGUUCGGGAUAGCUGCGGGAAACUGCAGGUAAUACCGAAUAACGUCUCCGGACCAAAGGUGUGAUUCCACCUGGAGAGGGGCCUGCAUCCUAUUAGCUUGUUGGCGGGGUAACGGCCCACCAAGGCGACGAUGGGUAGCGGGUGUGAGAGCACGACCCGCGUCAUUGGGACGGAGACACUGCCCAGACACCUACGGGUGGCUGCAGUCGUGAAUCUUCGGCAAUGGGCGCAAGCCUGGCCGAGCGACGCCGCGUGCGGGAUGAAGGCCUUCGGGUUGUAAACCGCUGUCGUAGAGGAGGAAAUGCAGGGGGGUUCUCCCCUCUGUUUGACCUAUUCUAGGAGGAAGUACGGGCUAAGUUCGUGCCAGCAGCCGCGGUAA
This 482-nucleotide ribosomal RNA is filed under the name uncultured bacterium. RNAcentral describes it as "partial 16S ribosomal RNA". It matches the Rfam family "Bacterial small subunit ribosomal RNA", at positions 28 to 523 of the family's 1533-position model. The record is from RNAcentral.